Molecule: ribosomal RNA, 253 nt
Filed under: uncultured bacterium
Lineage: Bacteria
Description: partial 16S ribosomal RNA
Rfam family: Bacterial small subunit ribosomal RNA
Source: RNAcentral
UACGAAGGGGGCUAGCGUUGUUCGGAAUCACUGGGCGUAAAGGGCGCGUAGGCGGCCGAUCAAGUCGGGGGUGAAAGCCUGUGGCUCAACCACAGAAUUGCCUUCGAUACUGGUUGGCUUGAGACCGGAAGAGGUAAGUGGAACUGCGAGUGUAGAGGUGAAAUUCGUAGAUAUUCGCAAGAACACCAGUGGCGAAGGCGGCUUACUGGUCCGGUUCUGACGCUGAGGCGCGAAAGCGUGGGGAGCAAACAGG